RNAcentral lists this long non-coding RNA (249 nucleotides) under Physcomitrium patens. Its description in RNAcentral is "long non-coding RNA (PPAT_LNC008284)". Lineage: Eukaryota; Viridiplantae; Streptophyta; Bryopsida; Funariales; Funariaceae. The record is from RNAcentral.
UCUUGGAGUUCUAGCUCACCUUUCUGGUGUUGUUCUUGUACUCAUCUGUUUAAUCUAGUUCUGCCACUUCUUCUUGAACUUCUUGUUAGAUUUCAAGUCUGUAUUUUGUGUCCGUGACAGGUACAGAGAUUCUGCAGCAAGAAGAUAAAAGUGAUUUGGAUAAUGAAGGUGACGACAACAAACUAGACAAAGACGUAGAGGAUAUAUGCUGAAUUUAACAGCAAUUGGGUAAAUUGGUGCGUACCGGAG